RNAcentral lists this long non-coding RNA (303 nucleotides) under Musa acuminata (dwarf banana). RNAcentral describes it as "long non-coding RNA (MACU_LNC005137)". Lineage: Eukaryota; Viridiplantae; Streptophyta; Magnoliopsida; Zingiberales; Musaceae. The record is from RNAcentral.
GAUCAUCCUCGCACUAAGAGGAUGAAAAUGGAGGCUAGCAAACAUAGAUAACAGAUCUAGGAAUGGAUCACCGUAGUUAAAAGUUCUUGACAUGGAAGUGGGAGAGCAGAGAUGCUGGUCAGACGAGCUUCCCUUCACACUGAUACAUGUGCAGUUUGCUGGUCUCCGAACCGUGCUCUGCCUGCGGGACUUGUCGGCCUAAGUUGAGCCAGAACUGGCUGGACUCUGGCUUGGCCUCGUUGGUGGCCGCCGACGAGCCAUGGACUUGAUACGGCGCCUUGGUGUUGAUUCUGAAACAUGUUG